UUCUAUCAUAAAAACACCAAAAAGACUGAAAGUAAUGUAACGGAAAAUGAUCUUUGUCUGGUUGCUCUGCAGUGCUGAGAACUGAUAAUGUGCUUUUAUAUAGUGCAAAUCUUACUGUGAACAUCAUCCUUUUAAGCUCUUCGUUUGGCUUGUUCAGAAAAUCCAUAGUUUAAAGAAUUUUGGUAAAGUACAAUAUUUGCUGUUGCUGCAACUAAAAGAAAAAUGGUUAUAGGCUGCCACAUAUUUUCACCAUUUUUGUUUUUGGAUUUAUAAGCUGCCUUGUGAAUACAGACGGGCGUGACUUGGAUUUAUUCUUUCGAACAGUCUGCCUUUUUUUCUGAUGUCAUAAAGUGUUUUCACGUUUGCAAAAGAAUGACUUGAAUGAAUUACUUGUUUGAAAGUGUUGUAUGAAUACAGUGCAUUUGCAAUGAA
This is a long non-coding RNA of Etheostoma spectabile (orangethroat darter), 432 nucleotides long. RefSeq lists it as uncharacterized. NCBI's taxonomy places the organism in Eukaryota, Metazoa, Chordata, Actinopteri, Perciformes, Percidae. The record is from RefSeq and is a predicted model, not a curated record. The transcript has 3 exons.